AUUGAACGCUGGCGGCAUGCCUUACACAUGCAAGUCGAACGGCAGCACGGGGGCAACCCUGGUGGCGAGUGGCGAACGGGUGAGUAACAUAUCGGAACGUGCCCUGGAGUGGGGGAUAACUAGUCGAAAGAUUAGCUAAUACCGCAUACGAUCUACGGAUGAAAGUGGGGGAUCGCAAGACCUCAUGCUCGUGGAGCGGCCGAUAUCUGAUUAGCUAGUUGGUGGGGUAAAGGCCUACCAAGGCAUCGAUCAGUAGCUGGUCUGAGAGGACGACCAGCCACACUGGGACUGAGACACGGCCCAGACUCCUACGGGAGGCAGCAGUGGGGAAUUUUGGACAAUGGGCGCAAGCCUGAUCCAGCAAUGCCGCGUGAGUGAAGAAGGCCUUCGGGUUGUAAAGCUCUUUUGUCAGGGAAGAAACGGUGAGGGCUAAUAUCCCUUGCUAAUGACGGUACCUGAAGAAUAAGCACCGGCUAACUACGUGCCAGCAGCCGCGGUAAUACGUAGGGUGCAAGCGUUAAUCGGAAUUACUGGGCGUAAAGCGUGCGCAGGCGGUUGUGCAAGACCGAUGUGAAAUCCCCGGGCUUAACCUGGGAAUGGCAUUGGUGACUGCACGGCUAGAGUGUGUCAGAGGGGGGUAGAAUUCCACGUGUAGCAGUGAAAUGCGUAGAGAUGUGGAGGAAUACCGAUGGCGAAGGCAGCCCCCUGGGAUAACACUGACGCUCAUGCACGAAAGCGUGGGGAGCAAACAGGAUUAGAUACCCUGGUAGUCCACGCCCUAAACGAUGUCAACUAGUUGUCGGGUCUUAAUUGACUUGGUAACGCAGCUAACGCGUGAAGUUGACCGCCUGGGGAGUACGGUCGCAAGAUUAAAACUCAAAGGAAUUGACGGGGACCCGCACAAGCGGUGGAUGAUGUGGAUUAAUUCGAUGCAACGCGAAAAACCUUACCUACCCUUGACAUGGCAGGAAUCCCGGAGAGAUUCGGGAGUGCUCGAAAGAGAACCUGCACACAGGUGCUGCAUGGCUGUCGUCAGCUCGUGUCGUGAGAUGUUGGGUUAAGUCCCGCAACGAGCGCAACCCUUGUCAUUAGUUGCUACGAAAGGGCACUCUAAUGAGACUGCCGGUGACAAACCGGAGGAAGGUGGGGGUGACGUCAAGUCCUCAUGGCCCUUAUGGGUAGGGCUUCACACGUCAUACAAUGGUACAUACAGAGGGCCGCCAACCCGCGAGGGGGAGCUAAUCCCAGAAAGUGUAUCGUAGUCCGGAUUGCAGUCUGCAACUCGACUGCAUGAAGUUGGAAUCGCUAGUAAUCGCGGAUCAGCAUGUCGCGGUGAAUACGUUCCCGGGUCU
Molecule: ribosomal RNA, 1352 nt
Filed under: uncultured bacterium
Lineage: Bacteria
Description: bacterial SSU rRNA
Rfam family: Bacterial small subunit ribosomal RNA
Source: RNAcentral